Molecule: ribosomal RNA, 530 nt
Filed under: Bruchus sakeensis
Lineage: Eukaryota; Metazoa; Arthropoda; Insecta; Coleoptera; Chrysomelidae
Description: partial 16S ribosomal RNA
Rfam family: Bacterial large subunit ribosomal RNA (bases 396-530)
Source: RNAcentral
UCAAAAACAUGUCCUAUUGUAUAAUAAUUUUAGGUUUGACCUGCCCCCUGAUUUAUUAAAUGGCCGCGGUAUUUUGACCGUGCUAAGGUAGCAUAAUCAUUAGUUUCUUAAUUAGAAGCUGGAAUGAAAGGUUGGAUGAAAAAAUUUCUGUCUCUAUUUAAAUUAAUUAUAAUUUUAUUUUUUAGUUAAAAAGCUAAAAUAAUUUUAAAAGACGAGAAGACCCUAUAGAGUUUUAUAUUUAAGUAUUUUAAUAUUUAUUGGUAUAUAAAUUUUUAAUUUAAUUAAAUAUUUGAUUGGGGUGAUUAAAAAAUUAAUUAAACUUUUUUUAUAAAUUUUACAUUAAUUAGUGAUUGGUUGAUCCAUUUUUUAUGAUUAUAAGAUUGAAUUACCUUAGGGAUAACAGCGUAAUAUUUUCAGAGAGUUCUUAUCGAAGAAAAAGUUUGCGACCUCGAUGUUGGAUUAAAAUUAAUUUUUGGCGUAGCAGUUAAAAAAUUAGGUCUGUUCGACCUUUAAAAUUUUACAUGAUCUGA